ACAAAGGCUCUUUUAAGAGCCACUCCAUACACAGCAAAAAGACCUG
This is a regulatory RNA element of Pterocles gutturalis (yellow-throated sandgrouse), 46 nucleotides long. It matches the Rfam family "Histone 3' UTR stem-loop". From Rfam's summary of the family: The mRNAs of metazoan histone genes lack a poly-A tail. 3' end processing occurs at a site between a highly conserved stem-loop (modelled by this family) and a purine rich region around 20 nts downstream (the histone downstream element, or HDE). The record is from Rfam. NCBI's taxonomy places the organism in Eukaryota, Metazoa, Chordata, Aves, Pterocliformes, Pteroclidae.